GAUGAAGAACGUAGCGAAAUGCGAUACGUAAUGUGAAUUGCAGAAUUCAGUGAAUCAUCGAGUCUUUGAACGCACAUUGCGCCCCCUGGUAUUCCGGGGGGCAUGCCUGUCCGAGCGUCAUUGCUGCCCUCAAGCACGGCUUGUGUGUUGGGCCUCCGUCCUCCUCCCGGGGGACGGGCCCGAAAGGCAGCGGCGGCACCGCGUCCGGUCCUCGAGCGUAUGGGGCUUCGUCACCCGCUCUUGUAGGCCCGGCCGGCGCUUGCCGACACAUCAAUCUUUUUUCCAGGUUGACCUCGGAUCAGGUAGGGAUACCCGCUGAACUUAAGCAUAUCAAAAGCGGAGG
This 343-nucleotide unclassified non-coding RNA is filed under the name soil metagenome. Its description in RNAcentral is "partial contains 5.8S ribosomal RNA, internal transcribed spacer 2, and large subunit ribosomal RNA". The stretch from base 1 to 120 matches the Rfam family "5.8S ribosomal RNA", at positions 35 to 154 of the family's 154-position model. The record is from RNAcentral.